CACGUAGGGCGCAAGCGUUGUCCGGAAUUAUUGGGCGUAAAGAGCUCGUAGGCGGUCUGUCGCGUCUGAUGUGAAAACCCAGGGCUCAACCCUGGGCCUGCAUUCGAUACGGGCAGACUAGAGUUCGGUAGGGGAGACGGGAAUUCCUGGUGUAGCGGUGAAAUGCGCAGAUAUGAGGAGGAACACCGGUGGCGAAGGCGGGUCUCUGGGCAAUAACUGACGCUGAGGAGCGAGAGCGUGGGGAGCGAACAGG
RNAcentral lists this ribosomal RNA (253 nucleotides) under uncultured bacterium. RNAcentral's name for it is "partial 16S ribosomal RNA". It matches the Rfam family "Bacterial small subunit ribosomal RNA", at positions 524 to 776 of the family's 1533-position model. The record is from RNAcentral.